Molecule: long non-coding RNA, 727 nt
Filed under: Chloebia gouldiae (Gouldian finch)
Lineage: Eukaryota; Metazoa; Chordata; Aves; Passeriformes; Passeridae
Description: Erythrura gouldiae (Gouldian finch) lncRNA (ENSEGOG00005002687.1)
Source: RNAcentral
GUGGUGUGUUUCUUACGCAUUCCUCAUGGCUGCUGUCAUAGCAGGGGAUAGUUAUGAGGACAGUGAAUAGCCUGGCUCCAGGGAAUCCAUGGAAAUUUCUGCUGGCAUGAGUAAAGAAGAAACAUGGGGUGGGAACUUACUCAGUGACUUAAAGUCAACUGUAGGAAAAGAGUUUCUAACUCCAUAAUGAUAAUAGUGAUACACAAUGCCUGAUCAGGACAAAAAGUUGAAGAGCACAGAAAAAGCAAUAGGAAAAAAAGCCUCCUGGGAUCUCUAUGAGGCAUUCUGGAGAAGCUGUAAAUUCUUCUGUAUGUAAAAUGUGGACACCAGGCAACACUAGAAAACUUUAUUUUCUUGAUUAUUGUGAUCUAAAAGGGUUUCAGUCUCUCUUAAGUGUUCAGUCAAGGAACCAACAGCUUCCAGCUAUAUAAAUUGAAAGUGGUCAAACAAGUGUGACAAGAACUUGGCAAAAUGUCAAAAGCUGUGAACAAAAGUCCAUUGGUCAAUGGCAAGAAUCAACAGAAGCUGUUGAGCUUGACAAAUUUAGGUAAAAAUAAUUAAAAGCUGAUGAUGACACUCUCGUAUCCGUGAAUAUGAGAUACCCUUAGAUACAUAAAGGUAUCACCUUGUUGAGGUGUUGAAGGCAUUUGUAUUUUUAUGUAUGUCUGUUACUUGUACUUUUCCUGUUAAUCCAGUAUUUGAGAUAAGAAUUACAUACUUUUAAUUU